UGUUUUGUGCAAUGCUGCUAAAUUUCGCGGUUUUUGUAUACACACGGUCUUUUCCCGCGUGCUAAAUGCAUAAUGUGGUGACAAUGAAAAACCAAUAUUAAAGUAGCGCUGGUGUCGCAGUAAUACGUGAUCGCCUCUCUAAUAAAAUAUGAUUUAUGGUUGAAUUAUUGUUGGCGGGAAAGCCGGCAAAAAAUAUUGUGCUGUGCCUUCGUGUUGCAAAAGAUUCACUUUCUUUACAUAAACCAAAGACUAGAUUAAAACUCUCUCCAUUGAAAGAUUUGAUCGCCACAUCUCGAGAGACACUGAGCUAUUGCUAUUUGAUCGUAAUUCGUUUAUCGUAAGUACACAAUUAUUGUGGAUGAGCUGUGGAAUGCUGGAUUUAUAUAUUGAAGAAGCCGGAAAGUAGAAAAUGUCCGAAACAAAAUUGUACGCAAUUGUACAAUUUUUAGCUGAUGAAUCUUUCUCAGAGAUUCCAACAAAUUGGAUUCAACGAAAUAAUGAUGGCUUUAUUUGUUGGUGGCCUAACACAAAGAAUAUCAGUUCGCUUAUUAAAAAUCGAGAUGAACCGGAUAAAAAAUUAUGGUCAAGAUUUGAUAUAACGGUGAUAAAAUAUUGUUCGUCACUUGCAUCUGCUCGCAAAUCAGCUGCAGAUGCUCAGUAUGGUACGACUGAUGAAGAAAAAUGUGGCCGAGGACAAAGAAAAUUAAAGAAAAAUGAAUAUUAUUUUUCUGAGAACGAUGAAAAUGAUUAUACUGACGAUUCGAAUGAUGAAGAAAGAAACGCGUGUGAUGAUGAUGAAGAAAAUUACGAUAACGAAAAAAACAAAUCGGUUAAACACUUGAAACAGAAUAUUAAUCGAUCUGUUUUUAAUUCUAUUCCUGAAUACAAUUCUCAGCAAAAAGAUAAUUGUUGCCAAUCUAUCAAUACUUCCAGUACUGAUAAAAAUUCAAAUUGUUUUGUUUCCAAAAAUACUGAUAAUGAAAUUUCAGUAUCACGCACAAAUAACAACAAAUGCAGUUCUAAUGAAAAACAAAAAAAAUUACAUAUUCUGAUAAGUCCGCAUCACCCUCUGGUAUAAUGGAUAUUGAGAGUAUUCCUAUCUUAGAACUUCCAGAAAUACAAGAUAUUUAUAAAAUUCUAGAACGGAUAGAAACAGGUUUAGAUAAAGUUAUACGUGCAAACGUUGCUACCAAUUUCGAGCUAAAAAGUAUCUCGAGAAGAUUAAGUACAUUGGAGUCUGGUCAACGUAAUGAUGCAGAAUUGACAGAAAAUGAUAUGGUAAUGAUAAUGCCCUUAUUGCCACUACAAACAGUCGAAUCUAUAAAAGAAUUCGAAAAUUUAAUUAUAUCAAACGAAAUUGCUGCAUCGCAAUUUAAAAAAUUGAUCCUAAAAGUUGGAGGCACCACUCCACGAAAUAGCGUUCAUCGUACUUUAGAACGAAUAAUCAGCAAUAAAUGCGCAAUAAAUUGUUCCUGGAAAGGCGUUCGAUUAAAUUAUAAAAUAAGCAAUUUAACAUUUAUUAAGAAUAUACGUGAUAUUAUAUGCUCUGUACAUUCAGGUUUAACUGAAUCCGAAUUCGAUAUAACUGCUGCGGAAUGGUUCAGGUUUGCAAAGCAACGAGCAAUACGGGAAGAAAAAAAAUCUAUAAUACAUAGUGCUAUUUACAUUUAAUAUACUCACACACGUUAAACACACGUUAAAUUGCUUUAGUUUAAAAAUUCAUUUAUAUAUCUUAAUUAUUUGUGAUAUCAUAAAU
Molecule: non-coding RNA, 1756 nt
Organism: Nylanderia fulva
Lineage: Eukaryota; Metazoa; Arthropoda; Insecta; Hymenoptera; Formicidae
Source: RefSeq, a predicted model, not a curated record